Molecule: unclassified non-coding RNA, 209 nt
Filed under: Hevea brasiliensis (rubber tree)
Lineage: Eukaryota; Viridiplantae; Streptophyta; Magnoliopsida; Malpighiales; Euphorbiaceae
Source: RNAcentral
CGCAGGGUGGAAGAAAUGGAGAAAUUUAUCCAAUUUCAAGACAAAGAGAUGAAAGACUAUGUUGCAGAGAGAGAUGGGCUUAUCAAAGCACAUGAGGAGAAGUUUGCUGCAAUGAAGAGGAGGCAUUGGGAAGAAGAGUUUGAGUUAGAGAAAGAGUUUGAUGCUGAACUAACAUCUUUGAUGGAGAAAUACACACAUCCACAGAGCGC